RNAcentral lists this ribosomal RNA (325 nucleotides) under uncultured eukaryote. RNAcentral describes it as "partial 18S ribosomal RNA". It matches the Rfam family "Eukaryotic small subunit ribosomal RNA", at positions 1470 to 1796 of the family's 1831-position model. The record is from RNAcentral.
CCCUUAGAUGUUCUGGGCCGCACGCGCGCUACACUGAUGCAUUCAACGAGCCUAUCCUUGACCGACAGGUCCGGGUAAUCUUUGAAUCUGCAUCGUGACGGGGAUAGAUUAUUGCAAUUAUUAAUCUUCAAUGAGGAAUGCCUAGUAGGCGCAAGUCAUCAGCUUGCGUCGAUUACGUCCCUGCCCUUUGUACACACCGCCCGUCGCUCCUACCGAUUGGGUGUGCUGGUGAAAUGUUCGGAUCGGCCGUUUGUCGCGGUUUCCGCGUCAUGUGGCUGAGAAGUUCAUUAAACCCUCCCACCUAGAGGAAGGAGAAGUCGUAACA